RNA transcript from Lutra lutra (Eurasian river otter), 1761 nucleotides. It is a transcript of the gene named NUBP iron-sulfur cluster assembly factor 1, cytosolic, with no coding region annotated. The transcript is spliced from 13 exons. NCBI's taxonomy places the organism in Eukaryota, Metazoa, Chordata, Mammalia, Carnivora, Mustelidae. The record is from RefSeq and is a predicted model, not a curated record.
UCCGGUUUGGUGAACUGUGGGAGUUUGGGAAGAGUCGUGCCCAGUGCGAGCGUGCGAGCCCUGCACCCUCUCCCCGUGACCUUGCCCUAAGCAUCUCUUCCACCGGCUGUUCCGGAAUUCUCUCCCUUUACAGCAAAAACAGUCAUCCGGAGUUAUAUACUGAAUAAUUUACGAAAGAUCUCCACAGCUCGGCUUUAAAGGAAAAGACCAGCCCCAAGCACCGGGCACAAGGUCCGCGCGUGAGCAAAGCCCUCUUUCCGAGACUUACUUCGCGCGCCUGGAGAGUCAAAUUGGGCGCGGGGAGACGGAAAUACGUAAGGCGUAGUCCGGUGACCGCGUAGACAUCGAAGGCAGCCGAAUGGAGGAGGUGCCUCAGGGCUGUCCCGGGACCGGCAGCGCCCAGGCGGGCCGAGGGGCCUCAUGUCAGGGCUGCCCCAACCAGCGGCUCUGCGCUUCCGGAGCCGGCGCCGCUCCUGACCCAGCCAUAGAAGAAAUCAAAGAAAAAAUGAAGACCGUGAAACACAAAAUCUUGGUAUUAUCUGGGAAAGGUGGCGUUGGAAAAAGCACAUUCAGUGCCCACCUUGCCCAUGGCCUAGCAGAGGAUGAAAACACACAGGUCGCUCUUCUGGACAUUGAUAUAUGUGGGCCGUCAAUUCCCAAGAUAAUGGGCUUGGAAGGAGAACAGGUUCACCAGAGUGGCUCGGGCUGGUCUCCAGUGUUCGUGGAAGACAACCUGGGGGUGAUGUCAGUCGGUUUCCUGCUCAGCAGUCCUGACGACGCCGUCAUCUGGAGGGGACCAAAGAAAAAUGGCAUGAUCAAGCAGUUCCUCCGUGACGUGGACUGGGGAGAGGUGGACUACCUCAUCGUGGACACCCCGCCCGGCACGUCAGACGAACACCUGUCGGUCGUGCAGUACCUGUCGGCGGCGCGCCUCGACGGGGCCGUGAUCAUCACCACACCUCAGGAGGUGUCCCUCCAGGAUGUCCGGAAAGAGAUCAACUUCUGCCGCAAGGUGAAGGUGCCCAUCAUCGGAGUGGUGGAGAACAUGAGCGUCUUCGUCUGCCCCAAGUGCAAGAAAGAAUCUCAGAUAUUCCCCCCAACAACGGGGGGUGCAGAGGUCAUGUGCCAGGAUCUGAAGAUCCCGCUCCUGGGGAAAGUGCCUCUGGACCCACACAUAGGUAAGAGUUGCGACAAAGGACAGUCUUUUCUGAUGGACGCACCAGCUUCUGCAGCCGCUCUAGCCUAUAGAAGUAUCAUUCAACGGAUCCAGGAGUUCUGUGGUCACCAUCAGCCCAAAGAAGAGCACCUCGUUGGUUCCUGAGACACGAGCUGCACGUGGAGCGCAGCCUGAGCAGCCCGGGGACAGAGCAGGGGUCUUGGGCAGAAAAGGACCAGACUCUGGCCUGCUUCCGGAAAACGGACAGCUGGUUGGUCAGGGAGUUCUCUGCUGGAAACUUGCGGAAGGACAGAACCUCUUACUUAAGCCACUGCGGCCUCAGGAGAUUCGCCUAAAAAAGAACCAUCUCAAAAUCCAGUCAUGGUUUCGAAUAACAUGGUCCAAAUGCCGCUGCUUUAGAUUGAGGGGAAAAUGCAACCAGCCCCGAAGAGCCCUUCAGUCACCCCUGUAGACAGAACAGGGGGGCCAGGCCCAUGCCCCACACGCUAAGAUGCGUUCACUGCCCAGUAAUUUCUGCCGUCCUAUGAGACCGUUUACAGGGUGGUGGUUUUUUUUUUUUUUUUUUUUUUUUCAUUACAUAAGAG